UACAGAGGGUGCAAGCGUUAAUCGGAAUUACUGGGCGUAAAGCGUGCGUAGGUGGUUUGUUAAGUCUGUUGUGAAAGCCCCGGGCUCAACCUGGGAAUGGCAAUGGAUACUGGCAAGCUAGAGUGCGGUAGAGGGUAGUGGAAUUCCCGGUGUAGCGGUGAAAUGCGCAGAUAUCGGGAGGAACACCGGUGGCGAAGGCGGUUCUCUGGGCCUUACCUGACGCUGAGGAGCGAAAGCGUGGGGAGCAAACGGG
Molecule: ribosomal RNA, 253 nt
Filed under: uncultured bacterium
Lineage: Bacteria
Description: partial 16S ribosomal RNA
Rfam family: Bacterial small subunit ribosomal RNA
Source: RNAcentral